Molecule: ribosomal RNA, 500 nt
Filed under: uncultured bacterium
Lineage: Bacteria
Description: partial 16S ribosomal RNA
Rfam family: Bacterial small subunit ribosomal RNA
Source: RNAcentral
AUUGAACGCUGGCGGCAUGCCUUACACAUGCAAGUCGAACGGCAGCGGGGACUUCGGUCCGCCGGCGAGUGGCGAACGGGUGAGUAAUGUAUCGGAACGUACCUUUCAGUGGGGGAUAACGUAGCGAAAGUUACGCUAAUACCGCAUAUUCUCUGAGGAGGAAAGCAGGGGACCUUCGGGCCUUGCGCUGAUAGAGCGGCCGAUAUCAGAUUAGCUAGUUGGUGGGGUAAAGGCUCACCAAGGCUACGAUCUGUAGCGGGUCUGAGAGGAUGAUCCGCCACACUGGGACUGAGACACGGCCCAGACUCCUACGGGAGGCAGCAGUGGGGAAUUUUGGACAAUGGGGGCAACCCUGAUCCAGCCAUGCCGCGUGAGUGAAGAAGGCCUUCGGGUUGUAAAGCUCUUUCGGCCGGGAAGAAAUCGUGUGGGCUAAUACCCUGCAUGGAUGACGGUACCGGAAUAAGAAGCACCGGCUAACUACGUGCCAGCCGCCGCCGUAA